AGGAAGGAGAGGAGGAGGAAAUAGGAAGAGGAAGAGGAUGAAGGAGAAGGGAAAACAAAGGUGGAAGAGGAAGAGAAAGUUCCCUGAUGGAGCACACCAUGGCACCUAAUGUUUAAAAUAUUGGAGGCUACAGAUAGAUGUGGAGACAGCCGGAAUGUACAGUCCCUCCACUGUUGGUUUCAUGGAGACAGCAAGAUUCAUAAGUGUCCUGAGAGCAUGUUUACAGGCCCCUGGGGACUGUGGCAUUAACUAAAUGAAGAGCAAUGGAUGACCCCAUGCUGUGGGAUCAGACACAUCCAGCGAAGACACUAGCGGAGGAGAGGUGCACCUAUUAGAACAAUCACGGAGGCAGCCGCUGACGUAGACAGAGCAGUUCCCCCCAGACUGCCUUCCACCUUGCCUUCAUUGACUGCUCAUAUUUAUAAGCCAAUUUCUCUGGGCAUAAAUCUUUUAAACACAUCCAGCUAACUUCUGCAGGGGUGCCCCAUGAGACCCCGACUACUGAAUGAACUGUCUCAG
Molecule: long non-coding RNA, 519 nt
Organism: Grammomys surdaster
Lineage: Eukaryota; Metazoa; Chordata; Mammalia; Rodentia; Muridae
Exons: 3
Source: RefSeq, a predicted model, not a curated record